UCCACUGGCUCAGUGGCAGAGCAACUGCUUUGGAUGCAGAAGGUCCCUGGUUCAGUCCCCAGCAUCUCCAGGUAGGAA
Non-coding RNA from Podarcis lilfordi (Lilford's wall lizard), 78 nucleotides. The record is from the annotation of a GenBank genome assembly. Lineage: Eukaryota; Metazoa; Chordata; Lepidosauria; Squamata; Lacertidae.